Molecule: non-coding RNA, 2565 nt
Organism: Coffea arabica (coffee)
Lineage: Eukaryota; Viridiplantae; Streptophyta; Magnoliopsida; Gentianales; Rubiaceae
Source: RefSeq, a predicted model, not a curated record
GAGAGUCACCGCAUUUUUAGAUUUCAUUCCAAUUUUUCAAUACUCAUACCCUUUUGUGAUUUCGUUCCAAAUUUCAAUACCAUGCCCUUUUGUCCAGCAACAAGUAUGACGGUGAUUCCAAUUCUUGAUUCCCAAACUCUCUUACCAAGCGGCCCUAGUAGAACAAAGGAAUCACAGGCAUAAACAUGAAGGACUCGUGAAAGUAAAGUACGGGGAUUAAUCAUUAAAGUGCUAGUAGUAGUACGACUAAAGAGAAUGAAGUGUAACAGGAGGCACGGCUUCUUUCUUAUCCAUCUGUCUGGAUUUAUUCUCAGUUAAAGAGGCUUCCGGUGGUGGACAUCGAGCCACCAACGAGUUCUCAACUCCAGAGUUUGAAGACCAGGAAAGACAGGGUGCAUUGAAGAUGACCAUGCCCGCAACGGCUUCUUCUCCACGCAUCGUAGUUGUGCAUGGAAGCACUGCAUACACUACCACCGCCGCAAAAGGGAACAACGAUUCCUCCAGGAAGCACCGCGUCGUCAACAUAUCAUCUCCUUUUUUCUCAUUUGCUGUUGAUUAUUCGCGUAAUUCGAGGGGACCGCACCCGCACCGGCUUAUUGGAUUUCGAUUACACUGUUCCGAUUCGGGAAAUUCAUCAUCAUCUUCUCCCUCUUCAAGUUCAACUCCAAACCCCCCGGCUCGGGGCUUUGGUCCAAAACCCAGUCCUCCAUUGUCUACUACUAGUAAGGAUAAGAAACCAACGAGAAUGAGAAUGGAUGACAGCAAGAGUUCGGUGCCACCAAUAAGGAAAUCAUCCUCUAAUCGCUCCAACAACAUUCCUAAUCUCAGCCGAAGCCAAAUCUUGAUUCAACCAGAGGCACCGCUUUUGAGUUCUCAAAGUGAUGGAAGAUCAGGGAAUAUUCCCAUGGACUUUCAGUUUGAGGAACGGCUAGAAGCAGUUAAAAGGUGCUGGCCCAUCAGAUUUCUUUUGACUUUUGUUAAGAAUCCAUGUGUGAAUUGCACCACCUUGAUACAUGUGAUGGAAAAAAGGAGCAUGUUUGCACACAUUUGCGUUUCAUCACUCCAGCAAAAACAGGCAGAAGAAGAGGAACAAUAUGGAGCAAUUGAUUACGAGACUCCAACUGUGCCCACAAGUAAUACUGUUGGACUGGGUACUAAGAUUGGAGCUGCAGUCACAGCCUUGAUCUUUGGACUUGUUUUUGCUUUUGGGGACUUUCUUCCCUCUGAAAAAAUUACUCCGACCGAAGAAGCCACCACUGUUGUUGAAAAAUUUUCAGCUAAAGAGAGAGAAAGUCUAAAGAAGAGGCUGCAGCAAUUUGAGCAGACGCUGAGCAUCUCCCAAGACAAUCCCAUUGCUCUUGAAGGGGCUGCAGUAACACUAGCUGAAUUAGGAGAGUAUGAUCGAGCUGCCUCACUCCUUGAGGAUUUGACGAAGAAGAAACCAAGUGAUCCUGAUGUUUUCCGAUUGCUAGGAGAAGUUAAAUAUGAACUCAAGGAUUAUGAAGGAAGUGCCAGGGCCUAUAGAAAUUCGGCAAUGGUGUCAAAAACUAUUGACUUUGAAGUAACUCGUGGUCUUACAAAUGCACUGCUCGCUGCCAAGAAACCUGGCGAGGCUGUCCAAAUGCUUCUUCCAAUUCGUGAGAUGCUGAAUAAUGAGAAAAAUGUUCACAAUAAUUUUGAGGCAGAGAGCAGCAUAGUGGAGAAAAGCUCUCAAUUGGAUCCCAUUCAAGUAAGCCUCUUCCUCUACCUAUGAUGUGCGGUAUACUAAUCAGUUGGUGUACUAUUUUUCAGACGUCUUGGAUUUACAGUGUCAUGCUGGCCAUUCAUAUGUGAUGCGUUAUUCUCGGUUAGAUUUUGAUAUGGCCUUUUGUAAAGAGAUUGAAUGCUUAGCGCCUGGGCUAUAAUAGUUUUCAGGUAGACCUACUUCUUGGAAAAGCCUACUCAGAUUGGGGGCAUGUCAGUGAUGCUGUAGCUGUUUAUGAUCAAAUUAUUUCUAGCCAUCCUGAUGAUUUUAGAGGUUACUUAGCAAAGGGUAUCAUCUUGAAGGAAAAUGGUAAUGCCGGUGGUUCAGAAAGGAUGUUCAUGCAAGUAUGUAAAUGGCUUUCAGAAUUUGACUCGCAAUUGAUGUUUUGCUAGUUGUUUGAAUGAAACUCGCUUGGGAAGUUUCAAAGAAGUGACGAGUUUUUUGUUAUAUUUGAGAGACAAAUCAUAACAAGAGGCCACCUAUUUGGAGCAAGGCCUGACACUUAAAAAAGAAUGAUGAGCUUAAACAAGUCAAGCUUGAUUUCAUCUAAUGGAUACAUGAAGCUUGGUUUUUGGUACAGAGUCUCAACUGUUCUUGAAGAAAAUGUAUCCUGUGGUUUUCUUUGUGACCUUUGUUCUGCCAAAUACCUUGAUUAGAUAUGUGCAUAUGAACUCUUGCAUAUGAAGUUGUGAUAUUGUACAUGUUUUGGAGCGAUGUCAAGCUUUGUAGUUUAGUACGUGCAUUCAGUCGGGUGUGCUUUACAGUUUGUUGUUAACAGAUCAUCAGUAUCAAAGGAUUUGAGAAAAAUAUACUUGUGCACA